RNAcentral lists this long non-coding RNA (1426 nucleotides) under Nicotiana tabacum (common tobacco). RNAcentral describes it as "long non-coding RNA (NTAB_LNC019466)". Lineage: Eukaryota; Viridiplantae; Streptophyta; Magnoliopsida; Solanales; Solanaceae. The record is from RNAcentral.
GAAUUUCUUCAACUUUUAUAGUGCAGUAACAUGAACCUGAGAACUAAUAUUCAUAUACAAGCGUAUGCAAGCGAAAUUUUCCCUUGUUAUUUUUUACAAUACAAGGUUGAAAUGUGUAAGUGAAAUUCAUGAUACGAAUAGGUUUAUUGAAAGAAGAAGCAAUUUGUAUAAUGGUUUAAAUGGGGACACUAGGAAUUUAUUUAAUUAGUGAUUGUAGUGUUUGGCUAGACAGGGUUGAAAGAAAGCCUACUUCAGUUUUUAGAUAAGUGAUGUUUAGGAUUUCGCCUCAAUAAACAAAACAUGGCAAGUUCUAGUAAAAUUUUCUUAACACUUCAUUUAGAUGAUGAAAUUGAACUAAUUGAAAUUAGAAUGUCCAAUACUUUACUGCUGAACUUAUACAAAGUUAAUAAAGCAAAAACCAAGAAUACAGAAAUCAUUCCAAAAAAGAUUUUAAAGUAACAAGUGAUACUUCAAUUUUUACCUUAUUCUUAGUAAGCCAGUAUUCCUUUUGAAGCUGAUAUAUUUUUCUAUAAGAAGUUGUCAUAUUUUUAAACUUUUGGACAAGAACUAAUUCCAUUAAAUGUAUGGUAACAAUAUAAUUUAUACAAAUUAAGUGAUUAUAGAUACUAAGCAUCAUUAUAUUAAUACUAAUUAUUUAUUUAUGCAUCAUUAUAGUGAUAGUGAAAGCCGACUAGAAGCAAAAAUUGCUCCCAGCUGAGCUCUUUCUAACGAGCUCGUACAAAAGUUUUUUUUUUGUUUUUGUUUUUUUGACUACUUCAUAGCAAACCCACAAAACACUAGCUACUACAUAGCGUAUCCACAACAAUUUCAAAAACCACAAACAUAAACGAAAAACAAAAAGUGUUACCUCCCCCUUACUUAAAAUUUUACAUAGUCUCCUAUGUAAAACUCAAGCUGGGGGCUAACGCAGAGGUUCUAUUAAAGCAAGAACCGGAUAGAUUUGAUCACAAUCUGCUUCAUAAAAUUCAAGUCCUCGUUCCUCUAUAAGAGGACGAGCAUUAUUAAAAUUAGCCCACUCUUGCUGCCUGCAUGAGACAAACCUGGAUUGAUCAAAAUAUAGAAUUCUGGAUCCCAUAUUGAAGGAACAACUUAUAAUAAGGAAAAUAUAAGUUAGUAAACUUUAAGUGUUUUGAUGAGAACAUGUGAUGUGCUAAAAUUAGCUAAAAAGGUUUUUAUAGGCAACUUGCACCGCUUACCGUGUGUACUUGAAUAUAACUGUGACAAUGUGCAGUGUACACUUUGCCUUUAUGAACAGUAGCUUAUUCUUUUGUUGGUGUCAUAUUCUGUUGGUGCAAUGUUUUACAGUAUUAGAUGUUAUAUUUACUGUAAAUGGAACAGAGUUCAAUUGAUGUUUAAAGCUCAUUUUGUUUCAAGGAAUGUUUUGAUUUCCAGCCGUCUUCUUUUU